Molecule: non-coding RNA, 113 nt
Organism: Acanthosepion pharaonis
Lineage: Eukaryota; Metazoa; Mollusca; Cephalopoda; Sepiida; Sepiidae
Source: the annotation of a GenBank genome assembly
UUACAGCCAUAUCAUGUUGAAACACUGAUUCCUGUACGUUCAUCAAAGUUAAGCAACGUUGAGACUGGCUAGUACCUAGAUGGGUGACCACUUGCAAAUACCAGGUAAUGUAA